AAUCGUCCGAUCUGCUUACGUAGACCGCAGUUCGACUCAAGCCAAAGGACGGGGACUUGAG
This 61-nucleotide non-coding RNA is filed under the name unclassified sequences. The record is from Rfam.